GUGCUCACUCACUUUGCAGCACAUACACUAACACUUGAAUGAUACAGAGAAGAUUAGAACGGCCCUUACACUAGGAUGACAUGCAAAUUCAUGAAAUGUUCCAUAUUUUU
Small nuclear RNA from Bison bison bison, 110 nucleotides. The record is from Ensembl. NCBI's taxonomy places the organism in Eukaryota, Metazoa, Chordata, Mammalia, Artiodactyla, Bovidae.